Long non-coding RNA from Nicotiana tabacum (common tobacco), 1665 nucleotides. RefSeq lists it as uncharacterized. NCBI's taxonomy places the organism in Eukaryota, Viridiplantae, Streptophyta, Magnoliopsida, Solanales, Solanaceae. The record is from RefSeq and is a predicted model, not a curated record.
UCGGAACAAAAAGCAGUAGGAAGCUAUUUGUCACCUUCACUGUCUUUCACCCUUGUACCAUGUACGCCACUUUGACCCCCAUCGGAAAAGAACCCAUUCCCUCCAUUAAAACCAGUAGCUUCCUCCAUUAAAAUACUAGUCAGGCAAAUACACGAGCUCUCCACCUCGUAUUUAGUUUUUCCUCCAAAUCCAAGUCCCCAACAAUGGCAAUGAGUAAAGCUAAAAAUUUACCCGAAGAAAUCAUAGUUGACAUACUUACCCGGCUGCCCGCAAAGUCCGUAGGUCAAUUCAGGUGCGUAUCAAAGCGAUGGUGCUCUCUUCUCUCAUACCCACAUUUCAUCAAAGCUCACCUCAAUUUGUAUGCCCAUAAGAGUGAAAAGAAACUCAUUUUUACCUCUCGUUCAAAUUCUAUUCACACUAUCACGUUUAACCGCAACCACCAAAAUGGAACAAUUGAUGCCAUUUCAAGAAACCUAAAUUUACAGCAGCUCCCAGAGAACUGGGUUAAUGUGCUUGGCUCAUGUAAUGGCUUAGUCUUGGUGAUGAAUGAGGACAAUAUCACUUUUUUGAUAAACCCCACAACCUUAAAGUACCAUAGAAUUCCAACCUUUCAUUUGGCUCUUCCUGUGCCAGAUAGCCUUAGCAUGUAUGGUUUAGGGUAUGAUUCUGCUGGCGAUGAUUAUAAGUUGGUUAAUCUUUCUCGUAGAUGGGAUCUUGCCUCUACUUUUGUGGAUGUCUACUCUGUGAAAACGGGUCUAUGGAGGAGAGUUGAGAGUUCAACUCAUGAUCAUAUAACGCUUUCGGUUGGUUCUUGUUCUGGUUCUCUGGGGUUUUGGUAAAUGGAGCUUUGCAUUGGAUGGCUCAGAAAGAUUCCGAUCCUUCAUGUAUAAUUGAAGCUUAUAAUUAAUCAUGUAUUGUUGUUGCUCCUCCUACAUGUAUAAUUGUUGCUUUUGAUUUAAGUGAUGAGAAAUUCUUGGAGGUGCCAACACCUACUGAGCUUUAUAACCUUGAUUUGCUUGGGUGUAAUAUUGUGGCUCUUAGAGGGUGUCUUUGUGUGUUCUCUAGACGUGGGAAAGUUUGGAUGAUGAGAGAAUAUGGUUUUGAUGAGUCUUGGACCAGAUUUAGUAUUACAGAACCACCAAAUAUAGUGUCACGUUUGACCCCCUUAUGUUUCGUGAGUGAUGAUAAUGUUGUACUGGAUGUGGAUGGAGUGAAGUUGAUUGUCUACAAUAGGAAAGAAGAUCAGUGGAGGGAUAUGAUGGUUGAUUGAUUAACUCCUACAUUUCACAGAACUAAACCUUUCAUGGAGAGUUUUGUCUCUCCUACGUUUGGAGGUAUCUUUAUUGCUUGACGUUCUGAGAUGAUGCUGUAUUCAGGAAUUAAUCUACUCUAGCAGAAUUGGACAUUAAGAGAGCUGCGCACAGAAGCCUGGAUCUUAAUAUAUUUUAAUCCCAAGGGUGUUUCUCCUUAAUUUAUUAUUUUAUGACAUUGAUACUAUUUUAAUUUUUGGAAAAUGAUUGGAGGGUUUUCCAAGAAGACUUGGAAUUGUGAUUUCUUUCUUAGGGUGUUGGUACUAUCUUUUUGGCCUUUAUUGGUGUUAAUGUUUUAUUGUUUUUUUCAUCUUUAUAGUAUUAUUCAGAGGAAGAGGAAGUGCAGGGCUUCUAA